This 481-nucleotide ribosomal RNA is filed under the name uncultured bacterium. RNAcentral's name for it is "partial 16S ribosomal RNA". It matches the Rfam family "Bacterial small subunit ribosomal RNA", at positions 28 to 523 of the family's 1533-position model. The record is from RNAcentral.
GACGAACGCUGGCGGCGUGCCUAACACAUGCAAGUCGAACGGAGAUACGAUUUCGGUUGUAUCUUAGUGGCGAACGGGUGAGUAACGCGUGAACAACCUGACUCUAAGAGGGGGAUAACACUCGGAAACGGGUGCUAAUACCGCAUAAGACCACGACCCGGCAUCGGGAUGAGGUCAAAGGAGCAAUCCGCUGAGAGAGGGGUUCGCGUCCCAUUAGAUAGAUGGCGGGGUAACGGCCCACCAUGUCAACGAUGGGUAGCCGAGCUGAGAGGCUGAUCGGCCACACUGGGACUGAGACACGGUCCAGACUCCUACGGGAGGCAGCAGUGGGGAAUAUUGGGCAAUGGGCGCAAGCCUGACCCAGCAACGCCGCGUGAGGGAAGAAGGCUUUCGGGUUGUAAACCUCUGUCCUUGGUGACGAAACAAAUGACGGUAGCCAAGGAGGAAGCCCCGGCUAACUACGUGCCAGCCGCCGCAGUAA